This 252-nucleotide ribosomal RNA is filed under the name uncultured bacterium. Its description in RNAcentral is "partial 16S ribosomal RNA". It matches the Rfam family "Bacterial small subunit ribosomal RNA", at positions 524 to 776 of the family's 1533-position model. The record is from RNAcentral.
UACGGAGGGUGCGAGCGUUGUCCGGAAUCACUGGCGUAAAGGGCGCGUAGGCGGUCUGCUAAGCGUGCGGUGAAAGCCUGGGGCUCAACCCCAGGUCUGCCGUGCGAACUGGUGGACUAGAGCACUGUAGAGGCAGGUGGAAUUCCGGGUGUAGCGGUGGAAUGCGUAGAGAUCCGGAAGAACACCGGUGGCGAAGGCGGCCUGCUGGGCAGUUGCUGACGCUGAGGCGCGACAGCGUGGGGAGCAAACAGG